CGCAUCUGUGCAUGCAGCAUAUCAAUAAGCGGAGGAAAAGAAACUAACAAGGAUUCCCCUAGUAACGGCGAGUGAAGCGGGAAGAGCUCAAAUUUGAAAUCUUAAAGGGUUUCCCUUUACGAAUUGUAGUUUAAAGAAGUGUUUUCUGUUGAGGUUUUGGUAAAAGUUCUUUGGAAUAGGACAUCAUAGAGGGUGAGAAUCCCGUAUUUGACCUUUACUUUCAACUUUGUGAUACACUUUCAAAGAGUCGGAUUGUUUGGGAAUGCAGUCCAAAAUGGGUGGUAAAUUUCAUCUAAAGCUAAAUAUUGGCGAGAGACCGAUAGCGAACAAGUACCGUGAGGGAAAGAUGAAAGAACUUUGAAAAGAGAGUUAAACAGUACGUGAAAUUGUCAAAAGGGAAGCGUUUGACACCAGUGUUGUUUUUCUGAAAAUCAAUUAAAGAACUGUUUAUGCUAAGCUGUUUAGACUUUAUCAGCUAACUGUUUAGUUUUGAGCUUUUCUUUAAUGCACUUUUCAGUUAACAAGUCAACAUCAAUUUCUUUUGCUGUAAAAAAGCUUGAGGAAGGUGGCUUGAGAUUCGUCUUAAGUGUUUAUAGCCUCUUGCCUAUGCAGUCGGAGAGAUUGAGGUCUGCAGCGUAGAUCCUUCGGGGCUAAAUGCAUUUGUGCUAAGUUAUAGCAUUUUAUAGACAACUUGUUGACUAUGAUUCGUCUUGUAGCUUACUCGCUUAUGUUAUUUUACCUACGCUUAGGAUGUUGAGUCAUCACACAUCUCU
RNAcentral lists this ribosomal RNA (773 nucleotides) under uncultured Neocallimastigales. Its description in RNAcentral is "partial large subunit ribosomal RNA". It matches the Rfam family "Eukaryotic large subunit ribosomal RNA", at positions 26 to 614 of the family's 3401-position model. Lineage: Eukaryota; Fungi; Neocallimastigomycota; Neocallimastigomycetes; Neocallimastigales. The record is from RNAcentral.